UAUCUUGAGAUCGAUGUUGACAUCGGUAGCUCCGCAAUUGCUAAUGCGAUCCUCCAUCUUGCCCUAGGCUAUGUUACUGCUGUGACGAUUGAUAUGGGGUUUUUGGUUGAGGCGCAGGCCGAGGAUGAGUUGCCGGAGCGGUUGUUCGGGGCGGUGAGGGUGGCGCAGAUGGAGAUGUCGUCGGCGACAUUUGUUGAUAAUAGGGCGGCGAAGGCGGG
Molecule: unclassified non-coding RNA, 218 nt
Filed under: Hevea brasiliensis (rubber tree)
Lineage: Eukaryota; Viridiplantae; Streptophyta; Magnoliopsida; Malpighiales; Euphorbiaceae
Source: RNAcentral